RNAcentral lists this ribosomal RNA (465 nucleotides) under uncultured bacterium. RNAcentral describes it as "partial 16S ribosomal RNA". It matches the Rfam family "Bacterial small subunit ribosomal RNA", at positions 28 to 507 of the family's 1533-position model. The record is from RNAcentral.
GACGAACGCUGGCGGCGUGCUUAACACAUGCAAGUCGAACGGAAAGGCCCCUUUGGGGGUACUCGAGUGGCGAACGGGUGAGUAACACGUGAGUAACCUGCCCUUGACUUCGGGAUAACUUCAGGAAACUGGGGCUAAUACCGGAUAGGAAUCCUUGCAGCAUGGGGGGGGUUGGAAAGCUUCGGCGGCUUUGGAUGGACUGGCGGCCUAUCGGCGUGUUGGUGGGGUAGUGGCUUACCGAGGCAUUGACGGGUAGCCGGCCUGAGGGGGCGACCGGCCACACUGAGACUGAGAGACGGCCCAGACGCCUACUGGAGGAAGCAGGGGGGAAUAUUGCACAAGGGGCGGAAGCCGGAUGCAGCAACGCCGCGUGCGGGAUGACGGCCUUCUGGUUGUAAACCGCUUUCAGCAGGGGCGAAGCUUGUGGUGACGGUACCUGCAGAAGAAGCACCGGCUAACUACGUG